RNAcentral lists this ribosomal RNA (484 nucleotides) under uncultured bacterium. RNAcentral's name for it is "partial 16S ribosomal RNA". It matches the Rfam family "Bacterial small subunit ribosomal RNA", at positions 29 to 507 of the family's 1533-position model. The record is from RNAcentral.
AUUGAACGCUGGCGGCAUGCUUUACACAUGCAAGUCGAACGGCAGCGCGGGCUUCGGCCUGGCGGCGAGUGGCGAACGGGUGAGUAAUACAUCGGAACGUGCCCAGUAGUGGGGGAUAGCUCGGCGAAAGCCGGAUUAAUACCGCAUACGACCUGAGGGUGAAAGCGGGGGAUCUUCAGACCUCGCGCUAUUGGAGCGGCCGAUGGCAGAUUAGCUAGUUGGUGGGGUAAAGGCCUACCAAGGCGACGAUCUGAAGCUGGUCUGAGAGGACGACCAGCCACACUGGGACUGAGACACGGCCCAGACUCCUACGGGAGGCAGCAGUGGGGAAUUUUGGACAAAGGGCGAAAGCCUGAUCCAGCAAUGCCGCGUGUGUGAUGAAGGCCUUCGGGUUGUAAAGCACUUUUGGCGGGAACGAAAAGGACUGUGCCAAUACCACGGUUCGAUGACGGUACCCGCAGAAUAAGCACCGGCUAACUACGUG